RNAcentral lists this ribosomal RNA (324 nucleotides) under uncultured eukaryote. RNAcentral's name for it is "partial 18S ribosomal RNA". It matches the Rfam family "Eukaryotic small subunit ribosomal RNA", at positions 1470 to 1796 of the family's 1831-position model. The record is from RNAcentral.
CCCUUAGAUGUCCUGGGCCGCACGCGCGCUACACUGACACACGCAACGAGUUUUGCUUGUCCGAAAGGUCUGGCUAAUCUUUUAAAUGUGUGUCGUGAUAGGGAUAGAUUAUUGCAAUUAUUAAUCUUGAACGAGGAAUUCCUAGUAAACGCAAGUCAUCAGCUUGCAUUGAUUACGUCCCUGCCCUUUGUACACACCGCCCGUCGCACCUACCGAUUGAAUGACUCGGUGAAAUCCCCGGACUGCAGCCUUGACACCCUCGGGUGACUCGGCAGUGGAAAGCGGAUUAAACCUCGCCAUUUAGAGGAAGGUGAAGUCGUAACA